AACGAGGCCGACCUGCGGCUGAGUUACCUGCGGAGGGAUCAUUAUUGAAUAUGCUUGAUGGGUUGUCGCUGGCCUCUCGAGGCAUGUGCACGCCUGUCUUGACUCUAUUCAUCCACCUGUGCACCCAUUGUAGUCUUGAAAACUUUUCUGAGGGUCGUCGAAAGAGUGGCUGCUCGGUCAAAAGACCGGAUUUGAGGAUUGCUGUGUUGAAAGACAAAGCUCUCUUCUGUUUCAAAGCCA
RNAcentral lists this unclassified non-coding RNA (240 nucleotides) under soil metagenome. RNAcentral describes it as "partial contains 5.8S ribosomal RNA, internal transcribed spacer 2, and large subunit ribosomal RNA". The record is from RNAcentral.